This 353-nucleotide RNase P RNA is filed under the name uncultured Akkermansia sp. RNAcentral describes it as "Bacterial RNase P class A". It matches the Rfam family "Bacterial RNase P class A". From Rfam's summary of the family: Ribonuclease P (RNase P) is a ubiquitous endoribonuclease, found in archaea, bacteria and eukarya as well as chloroplasts and mitochondria. Its best characterised activity is the generation of mature 5'-ends of tRNAs by cleaving the 5'-leader elements of precursor-tRNAs. Cellular RNase Ps are ribonucleoproteins. Lineage: Bacteria; Pseudomonadati; Verrucomicrobiota; Verrucomicrobiia; Verrucomicrobiales; Akkermansiaceae. The record is from RNAcentral.
UCGGGCGGUCGCUGCGGGGGGAACCCCGUAGAGGAAAGUCCGGACAUCACAAGGCAGCGCGCCCUCUGAAAGGGGGGGCUCCCCGCUCUCAAAGGCGGGGGGACGGCCAGUGCCACAGAAAACAAACCGCCCGCAAGGGUAAGGGUGAAAAGGUGGGGUAAGAGCCCACCGCUCCUGCGGCAACAAGGGAGGCAGGGUAAACCCCGCGCGAUGCAAGACAAACAGGGGAAGGGUCGCCUGCCCGCUAUUCCCCGGGUAUUAGUUGCACCCCGCCGUCACAGGCGGGGCACGGCUCCGGCCGCGAGAAAAAUGACCGCACAGCCCGCCAGGGCGGACAGAAUCCGGCUUACAGA